UUUAUAUCCUACGGCUGCACACUUGGAAAACAUCUGUCUUGUCUAGACUUGGCAAUAAAACUCUUCCUUCUGACCUCCUUGAAAUAGCCAACAUUCACCCAUCUCAGCAUAUCCUCGAUGUCCUGCUGCAGGUGUGCAGUACUUGUGAAACAGAUUGCUCCAGCUGCCAGGAAACCUACUCCUGUAUAUGCUCCUAAGAACAGGCUUCAACUCAUGAUAGCAGCCUGUUCCUCUGUGAGAUCUCCAUGAGCUGUGUCUUCCAUCAGGGCAUCUCUACCUGCUCCAGAGUGGGGCUUUUCCACAGCCUGCAGGUCAUCUUCUUUUGUGAUGGGUAAUUUCCAGAACUCCUGCUUAAAUUGCUACAGGUGAAACCUCUGCAGAAACCACACAGAUGAUUAAAUACAGAGGAUCAUCACAAGGUAGUGAUUGAGCUGUGUUCAGGCCUAUUGGUUGCUACAGAGGAGUGUUGGAAGACAGUGUACAGUCAGAAAACUGCCUUGUGCAGGAAACAGCUGGCACCACAAUGAAGAUUGCCAAAGAACAAAUUGCUGUCACAGAAUACCCCUACCAUGUCCCACAGGCCAAACAGGAGAAGAGAGACAAAUCAGGAUAGAGUAAGUAAUUUUUUAGCCAUCUGUCUUCUCAAAAUGAGCAUUCAUGCCUUGAGUUGAACCCUGCAGCAUCAUACCUUCAAGAGGAGAAAAUAAGAAAGCAUGGACAAAAUUUGGCCAGUAUGUUCUGUUUGACUCUAUACAUUACUAUGCGUAUAAACAACAUUUAGGUUUCCUCUGAAGACCUGCUGAAGUGGAAACUCCUUUGGCAGCCUUACAGCUUUUAUGGCUCCAGGGUAAGUCUUGUGAAAAAUGUAGUAUAUAGAACAGAAUCAGAAAACUUCAUAAUGGUAACAGGAUAUUUGAACAGCAGUAUAACUUUUGAGCUGAAUUCCAUUUUUUUUGUGAAACGACUGCUUCUGUGAAUUUUCACUGAAUGGCAUAUAAGUGAGCAUUUGCAUGUGCAAGGUUGUAUCAGACACAGUGAAAUAGACUUACAGACUUUCUGAUGAAGUCUGUCAGAUUUAUUAGUGAAUUAUUUUAUUUCUGCAGACUUUGUGAACUAUCUUGUAGAAUGGCAUUUCUGUUGAUACAGAGUUUGUGAGUGGCUUAAUACAUGAGAAUAAAAAUGAAAAAUAUUCUAAAAGUCCUUCAGAUAUUUCUUUUAAAGUCAAAGACAGAGAGUUAGUUUUCCUAAGACAUGAGUUAGAGUGGAGGCAAUUCUAGAUAAGCCACUCCUUCUGAAUUAAAACAUCUUGUGGGAAUGUUAGGAAUAUUUGUUUCAUUUUAGCACAUUUUAGAGAUCUCAAAAAUGCAUUAUUUUUUUAAUUUUCCUCUUCUGGACUCUUGAUUCCAGACUCCCUGUCAUGUUAGUGAGAAAAACUCAAGAGUUUAAUGACAGCUGUUACUGUGACCUAAGAAGGACUUUGUGCAAGGCAGAAGUACCGAGGCUGAUGUCAGCCUGUCAGCCUUCCUGGGGCAUGACUAUAAGAGCCAGUGGUAUCCUGUGCACCAUUAGAAGUACCAACACUUGUCUUCAUCUACAGAAGAGCACCCAACAACUUUUGGUGUUCUCUACUGAGUGUGGAAAGUACAUUAAGUCUCACAAUUAGUUUCCCUUUCUUUUUUUCUGCUUGAGCUGGGCUUUUGCCUCGCUUUGGGAUCCAGGAAAAAAAAGAAAAAAAGAGCAUGCAGAGAGCCUUAAACCCUUUGGCUGCAUCUUGUAAUAGCAUUUUAUGACUUCUUGCUGUUGUAUUUAUUUUAAGUUUAAGCUUAGAAGAGGAUACUUGAAAGGCCAUUUUCUUGAAUUGUGGAAUUUCACUGCAUUUUUGGGAGUAAUUUUCUUCUCUUGAAGUAUCUUGUGUGAUGUUUGCACAGCACAAGAUAAAAAUGUCUCCUCUAUCCUUACACUUCCUUCUUCUGGAUGAAAACAGACAUAAUUGCUUGACUAACUUUAUAUGCAGCUUUUAUUUCUAUCGCCUUUUCUUAAGUCUUUUCAUGUUUCCUGGUUCCAGUACAGCCUCUGUAUGACUAAUUGACGCAUCGUCAUCAGGCUGCCAUCUGAUUAAAUGAUUGUCACAAUGUAUAAAUACAGUGUUUACUGGAAAAUAGCAUUUUAAGAGGUAUUGUGCACUUUCAGUUUACAAUAAUGGCUUUUUGUUAUGAACUGUAUUAAUCUUUAAUCUGUUUCAUUGCAUUUUUUGCAGGAAAACAAAAAAAGAUCUGUGAGUUUUACCUCCAGUACUGUUUGGACUUCCUUGCUUCAGUCUCUGGUUAUUAUUGGUGCAGUCAAGUGUGUGGCUAGUGAAUCUGGAAAAUUGGUUGUCUGGGAUAUUGUUGAUGUCUUUCAAAUACUCUGAGUGCUUUUGACUGGUACUGGUUUGCACAUUUCCAGACUUUUUUAGAUGUAUUUUGAGUUUUGGCUAACAUCUUCAUGAUUAUGGACUAAUUUCUGGUGGAUUUGGCCUUUGAUGGUGCUGAAGUCAUGAGCAGAGCCAGCCAGAGGCUGCCUGUCAAUUUUGUUUCUGGAAACUUCUUACUGGCAAUUCUGUUUCCCAGCAAGAAGUUUCCAGGUUUGUGGUUUCCAUACAUUUGAGCAAAAUAGUGAUUUUCUGCAGGGCCUAUGUCUGUCUGAGCACUUCAGCUAUGCAGUGAUAUCUAAAGUACCUCUUCUUUGCCAAAGGAAUAUGUAUCUAAUUCUGGCUUUUUUCCCCCCAGCCUAUCCACACCUCUACUGGGAGUGUUUGGACUGUGCUCUCAAGCACAUGCUGUUACUCUUGGGGUGUCCUGUGCAAGGCCAGAAGUUGGACUUGAUGAUCCUGGUGUGUCCCUUCCACCUCAGGGUAUUCUAUGACUCUAUGACUCCAAACCCACACCUCACAGCACAACAAAUGAGAACAGUGAUCUGAUUUCUUGGACAAGCCCUGACGGACUGCCUUCAGAAGGAGGAGCUGGGAAACUGAUUUUUAAGAGUGACUCAGUAGCAUCAUCUUCAGCCCAGCCCCAACUCAAACUACCAAUCAACCUCUACUGAAUCAGGAAGAAAUCUGCAUCCCAAAUUUCCUGCAUGCAAACAUAUGCGCAAAGGAUAUGCGUGCAGACAUAGUGCAAGAUACGGUACCGGUGGAAAAAUUCUCCUUAGAGCUGAAGUGCUCUCCUGCAAGACUUUGAUUUGGUAGCUGCUGUCUCCAAUAGGAUUUUCAGAUGACUGCUUUGGGGGUCUAAGAAAAAUCCUCAGACUUUGGUGCAGCUGACAUCAGCUGGAAGAGCUGACAGCAGGACAAAGAAGGGAUAGAAAUGAGGGGGAAAAAAUGAUCAACGCCCAUCAUCCCAACCAACCAGGCUGACCCAACAGGCUAACAGGAAAUCACUGAAUGUGAAAGAUUUGAUAAAGAUGCAAAUCACCUAAAAAGCCUCAGAUGCAGACAGUGUUUUUUGUUGUUUCAAAGAUGGCUGUCCAGGAUGCACUUGCAUCUGGGGCUGGAAGGAGACUUCCUCAUUCCCUCCUUAAUUUCACUUGUGCACAGAGAAGUGAGGUCAGCUUUGGUGCCACUUUGCUUGCUUGUCAUAUGUGAGUGGUUAAACAUCUUUUCAGAAUGGAGUUGUGCUGUCCCACUUCCAGGAAUAUGCCUCCUAAACAGUAUGGCUGAGGUGGGGGGGGCUAGGCUGUGGGAAUCUUAUGCCUCAGCUGCAUCCCAUCCCACCAGAACAUAUUUUAUGCAGAGCUAAUAUUUUGGUGAUAAAAGCAUUUCAGGGGUGGCUACUGGAAUUGUGAUACUUGAAAUAUGAAUUCGAAAUUCACAGCUUAUCAAUAAAACCACAUUGACUUUCAGAAAGGUUGUCUGGUGAAUUUGAGUACAGCACUGCAAACAUUUACUUACAUCAUGUUCACGAUUG
Molecule: long non-coding RNA, 3947 nt
Organism: Vidua chalybeata
Lineage: Eukaryota; Metazoa; Chordata; Aves; Passeriformes; Viduidae
Exons: 8
Source: RefSeq, a predicted model, not a curated record